AAGAUAGGUUUAAUUAGAGCAUCACUUAUGUUUGAAGCGUAUGAUAUUAUUAUGGAGGGUCCUUGGAAACGACAGGCCAAUCCAUCAAGAUUCUCUCGUCUGUGGCGUCUUUGCCUGUUGCAGUUGCUGGAGUGGAUCCAAUCUGGUAUCCGCUUUGGACGGAAGAAAAGAAAUGAAAUGAGACAAUUUUGUCGGAUAACCUUUGGGGACGGUCAAGGUAGUCAAGGUAGGCAUAAAGAUAGAUCACAAAGGGAUCCUUAGGUAACUGUAAUGUAUUUGUAGUAGAUGAAGUACUGUUGAACAGCUCAGCUUGUUCAAAAUUGUCUGAUGAGAACACAAAUUCUCUAUUAAAUGUACAAAAAGACGACCAAAGAAUGCUAUCAUGAGCUUUUGCCUGGAUUGGAGUGAAGAUGUGGAAUGUACUGCAUAUUUAAGAUUAAGAUGGUCGUGCCUACUGGAUUUGCUGCUAUGCUUUUGUCCCUUAACCAAGUUCAUACCCCCUUCCAGUCUUCUAACAGAAAAGUGCAGUAUGUGCUCUUUGCUUUCUCUUCGUUUUGUCCCUGGUUGAAUUUUUCGGUUCUAGCAAAGCUCAGGUUGAAC
Long non-coding RNA from Rhodamnia argentea, 600 nucleotides. RefSeq lists it as uncharacterized. The transcript is spliced from 2 exons. The record is from RefSeq and is a predicted model, not a curated record. Lineage: Eukaryota; Viridiplantae; Streptophyta; Magnoliopsida; Myrtales; Myrtaceae.